CAAUAGCGUAUAUUAAAGUUGUUGCAGUUAAAAAGCUCGUAGUUGGAUUUCUGGUUGAAGCGACCGGUCGGGCGUUGAUUCGUCUGCACUGGAGUCGGUUUUGGCCAUCCUCUAGGAAAGUGCGUCUGGUAUUAAGUUAUCGGGCGUAUGAUCCUGGUCUUUUACUGUGAAAAAAUUAGAGUGUUUAAAGCAGGCCUUCGCCUUGAAUACAUUAGCAUGGAAUAAUAAGAUAGGACUUUGGUCUAUUUUGUUGGUUUGCAGACCGAAGUAAUGAUUAAUAGGGAUAGUUGGGGGUAUUUAUAUUCCGAUGUCAGAGGUGAAAUUCUUAGAUUUUCGGAAGAUAAACUUAUGCGAAAGCAUUUACCAAGGAUGUCUNCAUUAA
RNAcentral lists this ribosomal RNA (382 nucleotides) under uncultured eukaryote. RNAcentral describes it as "partial 18S ribosomal RNA". It matches the Rfam family "Eukaryotic small subunit ribosomal RNA", at positions 592 to 976 of the family's 1831-position model. The record is from RNAcentral.